This is a long non-coding RNA of Amphimedon queenslandica, 190 nucleotides long. RefSeq lists it as uncharacterized. The record is from RefSeq and is a predicted model, not a curated record. The transcript has 3 exons. NCBI's taxonomy places the organism in Eukaryota, Metazoa, Porifera, Demospongiae, Haplosclerida, Niphatidae.
AGAAGGGAGAAGAAGAAAAACAAGACAAGUCAAAAGCAAUGGGUGGGCUUUUCUCUAUUUUUAAAGAAAAGAAGGAUGUUGUCUGUACUGAAUGCAAAAAAAUUAAAAGAGCUCCAAUUGAUACCAAUCCAAAUCGUUUUGUUUGCUCCAGAUGUUCAUGGAACUGUAGUUAUAGUGAUGAUAUGGACAU